UACGUAGGGUGCAAGCGUUGUCCGGAAUUAUUGGGCGUAAAGAGCUCGUAGGCGGUCUGUCGCGUCGGCUGUGAAAACUCGGGGCUCAACCCCGAGCCUGCAGUCGAUACGGGCAGACUAGAGUGCUGUAGGGGAGACUGAAAUUCCUGGUGUAGCGGUGAAAUGCGCAGAUAUCAGGAGGAACACCGGUGGCGAAGGCGGGUCUCUGGGCAGUAACUGACGCUGAGGAGCGAAAGCGUGGGGAGCAAACAGG
This 253-nucleotide ribosomal RNA is filed under the name uncultured bacterium. RNAcentral's name for it is "partial 16S ribosomal RNA". It matches the Rfam family "Bacterial small subunit ribosomal RNA", at positions 524 to 776 of the family's 1533-position model. The record is from RNAcentral.